This 75-nucleotide antisense RNA is filed under the name Streptomyces cavourensis. RNAcentral describes it as "ASpks TB sRNA". It matches the Rfam family "ASpks TB sRNA". The record is from RNAcentral. Lineage: Bacteria; Bacillati; Actinomycetota; Actinomycetes; Kitasatosporales; Streptomycetaceae.
CUUCAGUGAACCGAUCCAGACCGGACGGUCGCCGGGCCGGUCCUGACCGUACGUCGCCAGCAGCGCCUGCGCCUC